ACCCUGUUGCUUCGGCGGGCCCGCCGCUUGUCGGCCGCCGGGGGGGCGCCUCUGCCCCCCGGGCCCGUGCCCGCCGGAGACCCCAACACGAACACUGUCUGAAAGCGUGCAGUCUGAGUUGAUUGAAUGCAAUCAGUUAAAACUUUCAACAAUGGAUCUCUUGGUUCCGGCAUCGAU
RNAcentral lists this unclassified non-coding RNA (177 nucleotides) under Aspergillus niger. Its description in RNAcentral is "sequence contains ITS1". Lineage: Eukaryota; Fungi; Ascomycota; Eurotiomycetes; Eurotiales; Aspergillaceae. The record is from RNAcentral.